Molecule: long non-coding RNA, 2326 nt
Organism: Mytilus californianus (California mussel)
Lineage: Eukaryota; Metazoa; Mollusca; Bivalvia; Mytilida; Mytilidae
Exons: 2
Source: RefSeq, a predicted model, not a curated record
UUGAAUUUAUUUCUUGAAGUGAGAAAUGCUUUGUAGUAUAUAAUAAACAAGUGAUUGGUAUUGAUGUUUUAGAUUAUUACUGCUUCUCAAGAAACCGCGAAUUUUCGCAUUUCCAACCGUCGACUCCGAGACAGUCGAUGAUUAGCUGUAAUCAAGAAAUUGCAAAAGCGACAGUUCACAGGCACAAUUGCAAAUACUGAAAUGAUUUGUAUUUUCUUCAGUUCGGAAAUGCAAAGAGAUAACAAAUUUCUGUAUGUCCCCUUUAAAAAUGUGUUUAACAGAGAUAUUUAUUUUUGGCAUCAAACAAACCAGUGUAUUAAUGACAUAUUGCACAUUUCCUAAACCCGAGGCAAGACUGUUUGUAAGCUCCACUAAUAUUUUAAGUUUUAAAAUAAAGUACUUUACUUAGUCACUCAUUUGUUGUUUAUAUAAAAAAUGGAACAUGCUCGAUUGAUUCUUCUCUUUUAAAAAAUAAUACUAAAUCGGUACAUGUACUGUGAUUUGAAAUGCCAAUAAGAAAGUGCACUCCAUAUGAGCAACUGAAUUAGCAGUCAUUCGGUUUUUUUUUUAUUUACUUUUAUUUUUUGUUGUGAUAAGCAAGUCUUUUUUUAACUGUUAAAGAAUUUGAAGUAUUUCAAUUGAGGCCACCAACCACCUUAACUGUAGUUUUUUAACAGAUUAGUAUUGAAUGUAUCAAUAAAUAAAGUAGAUCUAAAAAUUGAAGCGGACACAAUAUUUCGGUCAUUUGCCUUACCAUUCACUGCUGAUACAUGUACAAGUCGCAUUGUUCACAUCCAAUGACGUCAUAAUUAGUUGCUAUUUUUUCUAAUAUGAAGAAAUGUGUAAAAAUACAAUUGACUACAAUUCAGUAUGAACAUAAUAUGUAAUAUGACUGCUAAUGAGACAAAUAUGCACUGGGAGUCCAAAUUUCUUUGAUAUAAGCAACUAUGGAUCACUAUACGGCCUUCAACAAUGACCAAAACUCAUCAAGGUAGACCGUAUGAUCAAUGAAUAUUACUGUGCAUGAUAGUAUCACCAGCUCAUUAGUCAGCACUUUUUUAUUGCCACGAAUAUAAUUGAUAUGUUGAUAUGCUGUAUACUUACUGCUUAUAAAAUGUUUAGAUAUUUGAAACACUCAGGUUUUUCUUACCCCAGGAAUAGACUGCCCUAUCUUUAUAUCAGAUUAAUCAAUUGUUUUGAUUUUAGAUCAGUUUCAAAGUCUUAUGAAGACUAAACACGCGUCUGGCGAACUAAAUUAUAAGUCUGAUAUGCUAGAGAAAACAAGUUACUUGACAUCUUUAUGAAUUUUACAUUAAGAAAAGUACAGAAACAAAGGUUACUACAUGAUAUACUAAAUUAUUUAAAGAAAGAGGACUAUUAUGCAAUUUAUUUCAUAAUUAUUGAUUUAUUAAAAAGAUAUGAUAAACAAAAUAAACCAUAAUUCCGGUAAAUAUUUACUGAAGUUCCUGGUCGGGAAUAACUCUGUUAUAAGGAAUAUUCAACUACUACUAUAGUUCGUGUUUUUAUGAAACUUGCAUUUUUUUGGCAGAACAUGUUAAUGUGUAGACUUAAUUAGCAAGCCAAUGUUUAUAUAUCGUUCCGAACAUGCUUUCAAUGUUUUAACAUUGGCUACAAUUAUAGGGGGAGUGUUGAGAUAUCACAAAAAAUGUUUAACCCAAGGAGCCUCUUGCCUUUAUGUUUCUUGUAUGAUUUUUAAUUUUAGUUCAUUGAUAUGUUUUGGAGUAAAGUAUGACGUCCAUUAUCACUGAACUAGUACACAUUUUUGUAUAGGGGCCAGCUGAAGGUGGCCUUUGGUUGUUUUUUCUCUUUAGUCGGGUUGUUGUCACAAUUUCCAAAAAACAUUCCGAAUUUUAAUAUAUGCAACUUUACUUUGGGUAACCUACACUAAACAACACUCAACAACUAAAGCUUUUUUUGUCAAAGAUCUAAACUACAAAGUGUAAUCUUUAAGGUAAAACGAUUGCCUUCAAACAUGUCAUAUUUAGAACAAAUUAAACAGCUUAUAUUUACAUGAUUAAUUCGAAACGAAAAGCAAAAGUCGUUAGAAUUUCUACAAUUUGUAUGGAUAUGGAUUACUGUUUUUAUUUUAUUUUUUGUGUGGAAGGGGGUUAUGAACAUGUAUGUUGCCUAUGAAAAUCCGAAUUUGACGGAGAUAUUUAUCUUUCUCUUGCAAUGAAAGAAUGUAUGCAUGUCAUAUGCAUGCUUUCCUAACCUGUGAUAAGGCUGUGUGCUAGCUAUACUUAUUUUCUAAUUAAAAAACCUGUACUUUGUCACCAAUUUGUUUGUAUAAAGAAGUAAAAAUGAA